Molecule: ribosomal RNA, 1488 nt
Filed under: metagenome
Description: bacterial LSU rRNA
Rfam family: Bacterial large subunit ribosomal RNA
Source: RNAcentral
CGCCGAUGUGUAGUGCGAUGUGGGGACGGAGAAGGUUAACUCAGCCGGGUGUUGGAUGUCCCGGUUCAAGCUUGUAGUCGUGGUCCUUAGGAAAAUCCGGGGAUCUUAGAUGAGGAGUGAUAACGAGGAGGCUUGCCUCCGAAGUGAGUGAUACCCUGCUUCCAGGAAAAGCCACUAAGCUUCAGCUGCACACGACCGUACCGCAAACCGACACUGGUGCGCGAGAUGAGUAUUCUAAGGCGCUUGAGAGAACUCUGGAGAAGGAACUCGGCAAAUUGACACCGUAACUUCGGAAGAAGGUGUGCCUUUAGUAGGUGAAGUCGUACAGACGGAGCCCAAUGAGGCCGCAGAGAAUCGGUGGCUGCGACUGUUUAUUAAAAACACAGCACUCUGCAAAGACGAAAGUCGACGUAUAGGGUGUGACGCCUGCCCGGUGCUGGAAGAUUAAAUGAUGGGGUGCAAGCUCUUGAUUGAAGUCCCAGUAAACGGCGGCCGUAACUAUAACGGUCCUAAGGUAGCGAAAUUCCUUGUCGGGUAAGUUCCGACCUGCACGAAUGGCGUAACGAUGGCCACGCUGUCUCCUCCAGAGACUCAGCGAAGUUGAAAUGUUUGUGAUGAUGCAAUCUCCCCGCGGAAAGACGGAAAGACCCCAUGAACCUUUACUGUAGCUUCACAUUGGACUUUGAACAGAUCUGUGUAGGAUAGGUGGGAGGCUUUGAAGCGGUGCCGCUAGGUGUCGUGGAGCCAACCUUGAAAUACCACCCUGGUGUGUUUGGGGUUCUAACCUUGACCCGUUAUCCGGGUUGGGGACAGUGUGUGGUGGGCAGUUUGACUGGGGCGGUCUCCUCCCAAAGUGUAACGGAGGAGUUCGAAGGUACGCUAGGCACGGUCGGAAAUCGUGCUGAUAGUGCAUUGGCAUAAGCGUGCUUGACUGCGAGACGGACAUGUCGAGCAGGUACGAAAGUAGGACAAAGUGAUCCGGUGGUUCUGUAUGGAAGGGCCAUCGCUCAACGGAUAAAAGGUACUCUGGGGAUAACAGGCUGAUACCGCCCAAGAGUUCAUAUCGACGGCGGUGUUUGGCACCUCGAUGUCGGCUCAUCUCAUCCUGGGGCUGUAGCCGGUCCCAAGGGUAUGGCUGUUCGCCAUUUAAAGAGGUACGUGAGCUGGGUUUAAAACGUCGUGAGACAGUUUGGUCCCUAUCUUCCGUGGGCGCUGCAAGAUUGAGAGAGCCUGCUCCUAGUACGAGAGGACCGGAGUGGACGCACCUCUGGUGCAUCGGUUGUCACGCCAGUGGCAUAGCCGAGUAGCUAAGUGCGGAAGAGAUAACCGCUGAAAGCAUCUAAGCGGGAAACUCGUCUCAAGAUGAGUCUUGCCGGGGCCUUGAGCCCCCUGAAGAGUCGUUCGAGACCAGGACGUUGAUAGGCCGGGUGUGGAAGCGCGGUAACGCGUUAAGCUGACCGGUACUAAUUGCUCGUGAGGCUUGACCUU